Molecule: ribosomal RNA, 253 nt
Filed under: uncultured bacterium
Lineage: Bacteria
Description: partial 16S ribosomal RNA
Rfam family: Bacterial small subunit ribosomal RNA
Source: RNAcentral
GACGGAGGGUGCAAGCGUUGUUCGGAUUGACUGGGCGUAAAGGGCGUGUAGGCGGUCGGCCAAGUCUGAUGUGAAAGCCCGAGGCUCAGCCUCGGAAGUGCGUCGGAAACUAGUCGGCUGGAGCGCGAUAGAGGAGGGUGGAAUUCCUGGUGUAGCGGUGAAAUGCGUAGAUAUCAGGAGGAACACCGGCGGCGAAGGCGGCCCUCUGGAUCGUUGCUGACGCUGAGACGCGAAAGCGUGAGGAGCAAACAGG